This is a long non-coding RNA of Esox lucius (northern pike), 684 nucleotides long. NCBI's taxonomy places the organism in Eukaryota, Metazoa, Chordata, Actinopteri, Esociformes, Esocidae. The record is from Ensembl.
UAAAGAGAGGUACAGACCCACUGUAGCACUCCACUCACUGACACAAAAAAAACAGUUUGAGAUGGAUUUUAACUUGUUUGGACUCUUUAGAAGAGAACCAGACGUUAUCAAAAUUGGGUAUUCUGAUUCUAAUUUAAGUUCUGUCCUAGUAAGCAAUCAUUGUAAAGUUAAUGGUUAACAGAGGUUUCUUUGAGGUGAAUGAUGAGGAAAAAAGGUUGUUUUACUAUUGUCAAUGCCUGGGGUGUUUCAAGAUAACAACAGUGUCCCUUAGUGAUAAGGUGACAAUCCUCCAAGACCAGGGUCUGUUAUCCUUAGGUUAGUAAACCACCCCCCACUCCAGGGAGAGCCCUGUGGUGAUAAAGGAGUAAAAAGGGGGGGUCAUGAUUUAUGACAGGAUUUCAGAGUGUCUUUGAUGUGCUAGGAUAAUAAGAAGAGACUUGGAGAAGUUCACACUAAGUUUCAUCUUGUAGAGAAAUUAGGCUAAAUAACAGUUAUGUUAGCUGGUGUGAAAUGUUUGAUUUGAAAUGAGGUAUUUGAUCCUAUAUGUGAAACAAUGGGUGAAUUUGAUUGUAGUUCCGAUACAACACAAUCAGAUGUAAAUUAUAUAGGUGAACUGAGAAUUGUUCAUGAACUGCUCUUAGAGAGUGGUACUUCAAUGUAAGUUAACUAUCUUAACUGAUGAGU